This 445-nucleotide ribosomal RNA is filed under the name uncultured bacterium. RNAcentral describes it as "bacterial SSU rRNA". It matches the Rfam family "Bacterial small subunit ribosomal RNA", at positions 331 to 793 of the family's 1533-position model. The record is from RNAcentral.
CCAGACUCCUACGGGAGGCAGCAGUGGGGAAUAUUGCACAAUGGGGGAAACCCUGAUGCAGCGACGCCGCGUGGGUGAAGGAGCACCUCGGUGCGUAAAGCCCUAUCGGCAGGGAAGAAACAGACGGUACCUGACUAAGAAGCCCCGGCUAACUACGUGCCAGCAGCCGCGGUAAUACGUAGGGGGCAAGCGUUAUCCGGAUUCACUGGGUGUAAAGGGAGCGUAGACGGCGACGCAAGUCUGGAGUGAAAGCCCGGGGCCCAACCCCGGGACUGCUCUUGGAACUGCGUGGCUGGAGUGCAGGAGGGGCAGGCGGAAUUCCUGGUGUAGCGGUGAAAUGCGUAGAUAUCAGGAGGAACACCGGUGGCGAAGGCGGCCUGCUGGACUGCAACUGACGUUGAGGUUCGAAAGCGUGGGGAGCAAACAGGAUUAGAUACCCCCGUAC